CCUUCCUUGGUGGAGCUUUCCCCUGCAAACCUGGAAUUUUCUGAUAUGGGAAGGACUGACUGCUUUCUGCUGGAAAACACAGCUCAGUUCCACAGAAGGAAUGCAGCAAGGUAGCUGUGAGCAGAAUAUGCAGAAAUAAAGCAAAUAAGGAUUUUUCUUCUCUUGCUCCUUUGGGGAUAAUAUAUCACUCUGAAUUGGAUUCAGCUGACAGAAAUGGCCUUUCUUUACUUUAAAAUGCCUCUGACCUUUUCCUCAGUUAACUGGACACCAUUUACCACAUUGGCCUGAGAAAAAAAGCAAAGUCUUUUUUGGAUAACAGUUUCAGGAACGAAAUCCAACUUGUGCUGGAUCUGCUGAUCACACGUGGCUCUGCUCCUUCCCUGCUCAUGCGACACAAGCAGUGUGACUGCAGUGUGUGUGUAAGCUCAUGCUGCCAAAAGGAAGGGAACGUUCAGUUUUAAACAUGUUUGACUGAAGUUA
This is a long non-coding RNA of Lagopus leucura (white-tailed ptarmigan), 480 nucleotides long. RefSeq lists it as uncharacterized. The transcript has 2 exons. NCBI's taxonomy places the organism in Eukaryota, Metazoa, Chordata, Aves, Galliformes, Phasianidae. The record is from RefSeq and is a predicted model, not a curated record.